AGCGUUGUCCGGAUUUAUUGGGCGUAAAGAGCUCGUAGGCGGCUUGUCGCGUCGACUGUGAAAACCCGCAGCUUAACUGUGGGCCUGCAGUCGAUACGGGCAGGCUAGAGUUCGGUAGGGGAGACUGGAAUUCCUGGUGUAGCGGUGAAAUGCGCAGAUAUCAGGAGGAACACCAGUGGCGAAGGCGGGUCUCUGGGCCGAAACUGACGCUGAGGAGCGAAAGCGUGGGGAGCGAACAGGAUUAGAUACCCUGGUAGUCCACGCCGUAAACGGUGGGCGCUAGGUGUGGGAUGCUGUUCACGUGUCCCGUGCCGUAGCUAACGCAUUAAGCGCCCCGCCUGGGGAGUACGGCCGCAAGGCUAAAACUCAAAGGAAUUGACGGGGGCCCGCACAAGCGGCGGAGCAUGUGGAUUAAUUCGAUGCAACGCGAAGAACCUUACCUGGGUUUGACAUGCACUGGACCGGCGUAGAGAUACGCCUUCCCUUGUGGCUGGUGCACA
Molecule: ribosomal RNA, 500 nt
Filed under: uncultured Actinomycetes bacterium
Lineage: Bacteria; Bacillati; Actinomycetota; Actinomycetes
Description: bacterial SSU rRNA
Rfam family: Bacterial small subunit ribosomal RNA
Source: RNAcentral